This 718-nucleotide ribosomal RNA is filed under the name uncultured bacterium. RNAcentral describes it as "bacterial SSU rRNA". It matches the Rfam family "Bacterial small subunit ribosomal RNA", at positions 8 to 691 of the family's 1533-position model. The record is from RNAcentral.
AGAGUUUGAUCAUGGCUCAGGACGAACGCUGGCGGCGUGCCUAAUACAUGCAAGUCGAACGAACUCUGGUAUUGAUUGGUGCUUGCAUCAUGAUUUACAUUUGAGUGAGUGGCGAACUGGUGAGUAACACGUGGGAAACCUGCCCAUAAGCGGGGGAUAACACCUGGAAACAGAUGCUAAUACCGCAUAACAACUUGGACCGCAUGGUCCGAGCUUGAAAGAUGGCUUCGGCUAUCACUUUUGGAUGGUCCCGCGGCGUAUUAGCUAGAUGGUGGGGUAACGGCUCACCAUGGCAAUGAUACGUAGCCGACCUGAGAGGGUAAUCGGCCACAUUGGGACUGAGACACGGCCCAAACUCCUACGGGAGGCAGCAGUAGGGAAUCUUCCACAAUGGACGAAAGUCUGAUGGAGCAACGCCGCGUGAGUGAAGAAGGGUUUCGGCUCGUAAAACUCUGUUGUUAAAGAAGAACAUAUCUGAGAGUAACUGUUCAGGUAUUGACGGUAUUUAACCAGAAAGCCACGGCUAACUACGUGCCAGCAGCCGCGGUAAUACGUAGGUGGCAAGCGUUGUCCGGAUUUAUUGGGCGUAAAGCGAGCGCAGGCGGUUUUUUAAGUCUGAUGUGAAAGCCUUCGGCUCAACCGAAGAAGUGCAUCGGAAACUGGGAAACUUGAGUGCAGAAGAGGACAGUGGAACUCCAUGUGUAGCGGUGAAAUGCGU